RNAcentral lists this ribosomal RNA (661 nucleotides) under uncultured organism. RNAcentral's name for it is "bacterial SSU rRNA". It matches the Rfam family "Bacterial small subunit ribosomal RNA", at positions 1 to 663 of the family's 1533-position model. The record is from RNAcentral.
GGCUUAGAGUUUGAUCAUGGCUCAGGAUGAACGCUGGCGGCGUGCCUAACACAUGCAAGUCGAACGAAGCGCUUUACUUUGAUUUCUUCGGGAUGAAGAGUUUUGUGACUGAGUGGCGGACGGGUGAGUAACGCGUGGGUAACCUGCCUCAUACAGGGGGAUAACAGUUAGAAAUGACUGCUAAUACCGCAUAAGACCACAGCUUCGCAUGGAGCAGUGGUAAAAACUCCGGUGGUAUGAGAUGGACCCGCGUCUGAUUAGCUAGUUGGUAAGGUAAGGGCUUACCAAGGCGACGAUCAGUAGCCGGCCUGAGAGGGUGGACGGCCACAUUGGGACUGAGACACGGCCCAAACUCCUACGGGAGGCAGCAGUGGGGAAUAUUGCACAAUGGGGGAAACCCUGAUGCAGCGACGCCGCGUGAGCGAAGAAGUAUUUCGGUAUGUAAACUUCUAUCAGCAGGGAAGAAAGUGACGGUACCUGACUAAGAAGCCCCGGCUAACUACGUGCCAGCAGCCGCGGUAAUACGUAGGGGGCAAGCGUUAUCCGGAUUUACUGGGUGUAAAGGGAGCGUAGACGGGAUAGCAAGUCUGAAGUGAAAGCCCGGGGCUCAACCCCGGGACUGCUUUGGAACUGUUGACCUGGAGUGCUGGAGAGGCAAGUG